AUUUGAGAGGAAGGAGCUGUCCUUAGUACGAGAGGACCGGGAUGGACGCACCGCUGGUGUACCAGUUGUCUUGCCAAAGGCAUAGCUGGGUAGCUACGUGCGGACGGGAUAAGUGCUGAAAGCAUCUAAGCAUGAAGCCCCCCUCAAGAUGAGAUUUCCCAUGGCGCAAGCUAGUAAGAUCCCUGAAAGAUGAUCAGGUUGAUAGGUCAGAGGUGGAAGCGUGGCGACAUGUGGAGCUGACUGAUACUAAUAGAUCGAGGACUUAACCAAC
This 271-nucleotide ribosomal RNA is filed under the name Bacillus sp. BA3. RNAcentral describes it as "partial 23S ribosomal RNA". It matches the Rfam family "Bacterial large subunit ribosomal RNA", at positions 2660 to 2925 of the family's 2925-position model. Lineage: Bacteria; Bacillati; Bacillota; Bacilli; Caryophanales; Bacillaceae. The record is from RNAcentral.